GGGUAUAGUAGCAAUACUAGAGACCGGCGCACGGGUGCGUAACGCGUAUGCAAUCUACCUUUCACAGAGGGAUAGCCCAGAGAAAUUUGGAUUAAUACCUCAUAGUAUUAUAGUAUGGCAUCAUAUUAUAAUUAAAGUCACAACGGUGAAAGAUGAGCAUGCGUCCCAUUAGUUAGUUGGUAAGGUAACGGCUUACCAAGACUACGAUGGGUAGGGGUCCUGAGAGGGAGAUCCCCCACACUGGUACUGAGACACGGACCAGACUCCUACGGGAGGCAGCAGUGAGGAAUAUUGGACAAUGGGCGCAAGCCUGAUCCAGCCAUGCCGCGUGCAGGAUGACGGUCCUAUGGAUUGUAAACUGCUUUUGCACAGGAAGAAACAUCCCGACGUGUCGGGACUUGACGGUACUGUGAGAAUAAGGAUCGGCUAACUCCGUGCCAGCAGCCGCGGUAAUACGGAGGAUCCAAGCGUUAUCCGGAAUCAUUGGGUUUAAAGGGUCCGUAGGCGGUCUUAUAAGUCAGUGGUGAAAUCUCCCCGCUCAACGGGGAAACGGCCAUUGAUACUGUAGGACUUGAAUUAUUAGGAAGUAACUAGAAUAUGUAGUGUAGCGGUGAAAUGCUUAGAGAUUACAUGGAAUACCAAUUGCGAAGGCAGGUUACUACUAAUGGAUUGACGCUGAUGGACGAAAGCGUGNGUAGCG
RNAcentral lists this ribosomal RNA (700 nucleotides) under Flavobacterium sp. BF-LAM-BP6. RNAcentral's name for it is "bacterial SSU rRNA". It matches the Rfam family "Bacterial small subunit ribosomal RNA", at positions 66 to 770 of the family's 1533-position model. The record is from RNAcentral. Lineage: Bacteria; Pseudomonadati; Bacteroidota; Flavobacteriia; Flavobacteriales; Flavobacteriaceae.